RNAcentral lists this ribosomal RNA (591 nucleotides) under Debaryomyces sp. RNAcentral describes it as "partial large subunit ribosomal RNA". It matches the Rfam family "Eukaryotic large subunit ribosomal RNA", at positions 49 to 656 of the family's 3401-position model. Lineage: Eukaryota; Fungi; Ascomycota; Pichiomycetes; Serinales; Debaryomycetaceae. The record is from RNAcentral.
AGCGGAGGAAAAGAAACCAACAGGGAUUGCCUUAGUAACGGCGAGUGAAGCGGCAAAAGCUCAAAUUUGAAAUCUGGCGCCUUCGGUGUCCGAGUUGUAAUUUGAAGAAGGUAACUUUGGAGUUGGCUCUUGUCUAUGUUCCUUGGAACAGGACGUCACAGAGGGUGAGAAUCCCGUGCGAUGAGAUGCCCAAUUCUAUGUAAAGUGCUUUCGAAGAGUCGAGUUGUUUGGGAAUGCAGCUCUAAGUGGGUGGUAAAUUCCAUCUAAAGCUAAAUAUUGGCGAGAGACCGAUAGCGAACAAGUACAGUGAUGGAAAGAUGAAAAGAACUUUGAAAAGAGAGUGAAAAAGUACGUGAAAUUGUUGAAAGGGAAGGGCUUGAGAUCAGACUUGGUAUUUUGCGAUCCUUUCCUUUUUGGUUGGGUUCCUCGCAGCUUACUGGGCCAGCAUCGGUUUGGAUGGUAGGAUAAUGAUUAAGGAAUGUGGCUCUACUUCGGUGGAGUGUUAUAGCCUUAGUUGAUGCUGCCUGUCUAGACCGAGGACUGCGUCUUUGACUAGGAUGUUGGCAUAAUGAUCUUAAGCCACCCGUCUUG